AGUCGAACGGCAGCACGGGGGCAACCCUGGUGGCGAGUGGCGAACGGGUGAGUAAUACAUCGGAACGUGUCCUGUAGUGGGGGAUAGCCCGGCGAAAGCCGGAUUAAUACCGCAUACGCUCUGCGGAGGAAAGCGGGGGAUCCUUCGGGACCUCGCGCUACAGGGGCGGCCGAUGGCAGAUUAGCUAGUUGGUGGGGUAAAGGCCUACCAAGGCGACGAUCUGUAGCUGGUCUGAGAGGACGACCAGCCACACUGGGACUGAGACACGGCCCAGACUCCUACGGGAGGCAGCAGUGGGGAAUUUUGGACAAUGGGCGAAAGCCUGAUCCAGCAAUGCCGCGUGUGUGAAGAAGGCCUUCGGGUUGUAAAGCACUUUUGUCCGGAAAGAAAACCUCCGCCCUAAUAYGGUGGGGGGAUGACGGUACCGGAAGAAUAAGCACCGGCUAACUACGUGCCAGCAGCCGCGGUAAUACGUAGGGUGCAAGCGUUAAUCGGAAUUACUGGGCGUAAAGCGUGCGCAGGCGGUCCGCUAAGACAGAUGUGAAAUCCCCGGGCUUAACCUGGGAACUGCAUUUGUGACUGGCGGGCUAGAGUAUGGCAGAGGGGGGUAGAAUUCCACGUGUAGCAGUGAAAUGCGUAGAGAUGUGGAGGAAUACCGAUGGCGAAGGCAGCCCCCUGGGCCAAUACUGACGCUCAUGCACGAAAGCGUGGGGAGCAAACAGGAUUAGAUACCCUGGUAGUCCACGCCCUAAACGAUGUCAACUAGUUGUCGGGUCUUCAUUGACUUGGUAACGUAGCUAACGCGUGAAGUUGACCGCCUGGGGAGUACGGUCGCAAGAUUAAAACUCAAAGGAAUUGACGGGGACCCGCACAAGCGGUGGAUGAUGUGGAUUAAUUCGAUGCAACGCGAAAAACCUUACCUACCCUUGACAUGUAUGGAACCUGGCUGAAAGGUCAGGGUGCCCGAAAGGGAGCCAUAACACAGGUGCUGCAUGGCUGUCGUCAGCUC
RNAcentral lists this ribosomal RNA (1009 nucleotides) under Paraburkholderia sediminicola. RNAcentral describes it as "bacterial SSU rRNA". It matches the Rfam family "Bacterial small subunit ribosomal RNA", at positions 60 to 1061 of the family's 1533-position model. The record is from RNAcentral. Lineage: Bacteria; Pseudomonadati; Pseudomonadota; Betaproteobacteria; Burkholderiales; Burkholderiaceae.